CCCCCCCUCCACCUUCAGCAGAGACAAGAAUGGAAUCGAUGCUUGAGCAGAUUCUGGAGAGCCAAACAAAGCUUGUUAUGGAGUUUAUUGGGAAGUUUG
Molecule: small RNA, 99 nt
Filed under: Arabidopsis thaliana (thale cress)
Lineage: Eukaryota; Viridiplantae; Streptophyta; Magnoliopsida; Brassicales; Brassicaceae
Description: ATSL264360
Source: RNAcentral